UUGUCUUAAAUUCUUAAUUUCUGAGAUAUGGUAGCUCAAACAUCGCUUACCGCAACAGUUUACAUGAGGUCCUGUUCUUCAGGAAGAUGUCAGAGUCUUUUAAACUGUAGAUUCUUACUAUCAAAAAACUGAAGCUUUUUACCAGUAACUGUCCAUUGUGUGUAACUAUGAAGUAGGCGGUGCUUAAUUUGAGCCACACCUUUAAUUGCUGCAGCAAAGCAAUGCAAGGCUGAGCAAGCUAACACGUACAGUAACAUAUCCCAGAAAUCACAUGACUGUAGAACCCUGAAUUGUAAUAAAUGUAAUGUGCGCCUAGACUUAAUUAUUGGUUGUAUGUCUUGUCUGUAAUAGAUCCCUUCUUAAUAAUUUGUGUUAAUGUGAAACUAUUUCAUAAUUUGUGUCAUAGUAUAUAAAUGUUUGAUUCUGUUGUUUUGGUUGAUCUUUUGAUUGUUAAUAAUCGUAUCUACAAGAGUAA
Molecule: long non-coding RNA, 475 nt
Organism: Amphimedon queenslandica
Lineage: Eukaryota; Metazoa; Porifera; Demospongiae; Haplosclerida; Niphatidae
Exons: 3
Source: RefSeq, a predicted model, not a curated record